Long non-coding RNA from Lytechinus pictus (painted urchin), 5651 nucleotides. RefSeq lists it as uncharacterized. NCBI's taxonomy places the organism in Eukaryota, Metazoa, Echinodermata, Echinoidea, Temnopleuroida, Toxopneustidae. The record is from RefSeq and is a predicted model, not a curated record. The transcript has 5 exons.
GAGUUUCAUCAUGGAUGGUGGAUUUUACAUGUAGCGCGGCCUGACAUUCUCGGAAAAUCAGACAACAUUUGAGGUUUACUUCGGGUAUUUAGCUAAAUUGGAUUUUGAUCUAGUGACAUAAGACUGCAAAGAGUCUGAAACUUUCAUUUAUAUGUAUUGUUAAGAACAGAACGAGGAGAAUUGUGCUUUUUUCUACAAUGUCGGCUCAGGAUCGCCCAUUCUCAUAACUGUACAAAGAGAGGUUGGAUAGCACCAUUUGUGUCUACGGGGGGAUUCCAGCUUGACAGGACGUUCAUUGCCGACACCGCAACACUCUGUAUUCAAAAUACAUGUCAUCCUGAAUGUGUGUAAUUUUCCUGCGGAUGAAGGAGUUCUUGAAAGGUUUAUAAGACCUGAGGUCACCAAAACAGCAUUGUGGCAGAAGUAUGGAACACCAGCGUAUACAUGAUAACUUCUUCAGAUGACUGCAAAGCGCAACGUUGCAAAGCUCACUUCUAGAACCCUAGUCACCAAUGACAGUGCACCACCAUAUUCCUUUGCUCACCAGUUGAAACAAACUACCGCCCUCGAGUCAGAAGGCUGUCUUCAUCGUCCAACACACAGCGGUAACAUCACCCCAGGACUUCAACCCUCCGCUGAUACCUGGUUCAGCAAAGACUAGGCCUUGGGGAGUGUUUACGGCUCUGUCACCAAAACAGCAUUGUGGCAGAAGUAUGGAACACCAGCAUAUACAUGUAAUGUAUCGGGACCUUUACAGGUUAACUUCUUCAGAUGACUGCAAAACGCAACGUUACAAAGCUCACUUCUACAACCCUAGUCACCAAUGACAGUGCACCACCAUAUCCCUUUGCUCACCAGUUGAAACAAACUACCGCCCUCGAGUCAGAAGGCUGUCCUCAUCAUCCAACACACAGCGGUAACAUCACCCAAGGACUUCAGCCCUCCGGUGAUACCUGGUUCAGCAAAGACUAGGCCUUUGGGGGGUGUUUACGGCUCUGUCACCAUAACAGCAUUGUGGCAGAAGUAUGGAACACCACCAUAUACAGGAUAACUUCUUCAGAUGACUGCAAAGCCUUUAAGCGCAACGUUGCAAAGCUCACUUCUAGAACCCUAGUCACCAAUGACAGUGCACCACCAUAUCCCUUUGCUCACCAGUUCAAACAAACUACCGCCCUCGAGUCAGAAGGCUGUCCUCAUCAUCCAACACACAACGGUAACAUCACCCCAGGACUUCAGCCCUCCGGUGAUACCUCGUUCAGCGAAGACUAGGCCUUGGGGAGUGUUUACGGCUCUGUCAUAACAGCAUUGUGGCAGAAGUAGCCUCGAUCUCGACCAAGACAUUUUGAAUGCCACUCUGUAUGGCUUGGCAUAGUUUUUUUUUGUUAUUCAUACUAACGUGUGUUCAUGUCAAUUUUUCCACCUCUGACUUACAUUUAUUUUCUGAUACCAUGUUUCUGUGUGAUUUUAGUCUUAUUUCUACUGGUAUGACAAUGUAAACAUAUACUUUUGUUCCACACAAGAUAUUUUGGGAUUUUGUGUGCACUUUCAUGUAACUACAUGUAUUUUUAUACCAUAGUUUUUGUUUCUGAUUGUUCAAUUCCUUUUACGCUCUCAUUCCUUUAUAGUUGUAUCUUAUUUGAGACAGAGGAAGAGAUAGGGUGAAUAAUAGAGAGAGAGAGAGAGAGAGAGGGGGGGGGGGGUGCAGAAACAAAGCGCCAUUCAUGAUGAAUUUUAUUACAUUUGUGUUUUAACUUUGCACAUACAUUGCAAGAUAUUGGGAAUUUAACACGUUUAUUUUUCUGUAAGUUUGUAAAUCCUUGUAUUCACACAGUGUUUUGAGUGAUAUAUUGUAAAGAUAGAUCUUAUGCAUGCUCCUUGGGGAAAAGAAGUUAUACAUGCAUGUCACUUAUCUCAUCUUGGCAUUAUCAUAAUUAUUAUAUUGGUUGAUGUUGCUGAUAUAUGAAACAGAAUCUGAUGGAUAUCAUUGAUAACAGUUACUGUUUGUCAUCUUUUUUACAUCAGGAUAACAGAUCUUAGUAGUACAGCGAAAGACAAUUCACUGUAAUUUGUUAUAUUGUCAUAUAUUACACGAUUAUGAUUUUCAAUGGCACAUGUUUGUACACUACAAUUUUAUGUCUUUAGAGGUCACAUAUCCAGUUUGUUUCGUGAAUAGUCAAUAUUGGAUUAUGAUUAUAAUGUCAGUUUGUUUGCAACAUUUACCCCAUAUAUAGUGGUACCUUACGAUCAACUGUCAAUAUCUACUGCAUUCACUAUACAUAGCAGUGUCUUGCUUGCUGUAACAAAGAGGUACAUAGGGCUGUUAGGGAUUAUCCAUAAUGUACAUUGUUUUUUAGUUUUAUUGUUAUUGUGUUUACCUGAACUUAUAUCUCAAUUGCUAUGUAGGGGGCCUUUCAUAUAAUCAGUAGGUAUCUUGUUUAUGUACCUGUUUUAUAGAUGUAUUCCAUUUCUGUUAAAUAUAUAUACAUGUUAAAAUGCCCUUUUCAGAGAUUUCUACAAUGCCGCUCUUUUCAGUAUGUGCUUUUAUUUUAGUAUAUCAAAUUUAAUUGGAUAUGCUGUUUUUAAAAUCUAUUUCUUUUAAAAUGUGUUUGAAGAUGAUAGGUGAUUACCAUUUGUAAUAUUGCAUUGCGGUUCUUUUUUAGAUCGCCAAGGAAAUAGCAUGAUGUUAAGUUUGUGCAGAAUGUCAUUUACAUGCAUGUAGAUAGGUCUAUGCAAUUUAGCUUUGACUUUGGUUUGAUAAGCCUUGUUUAGUGCUUUGAACAUGAUUUUAACAAUGAAUAGACCUGUUUACUAAUGUACUUCAUUUCAUGUUUCUCUCUAUAGUACAUGGUAGGGGUGAAAUAAGAAUACAAAGGUUAGAAGGAAAAAAUAAAGAAGAUUGGGGAACACUGGAAGACACAAUAGAGGGAGAACGAGAGUCACAGGCGGAAAAGGGAGAGGGUGAGAGAGUUUAACAAAAGAGAAGGGCAGAGAUAGAUCGAGACAUCGCAAGAGAGAAAGAGGGAGGCAAGGAAGGAGUGAAGGGAGAGGGUGAAGAGUAGAGAGGGGGAGAGAGGGAUGCAGAAACAAAGCAAGAGAGAGGGGCAGAACAAGAAAGGAGAAGGGGAACAUAGCAAGAGAGAGGAGAAAGAGAUGCAAUCGAGGCACUCUACUAGCAUAAAUAGAUUUGAAUAUUUACUAUAUAGAGAAAGGGAAAAGUUAUAUAGACAUAGAUGAUGAUGAUCAUGAUGAUGAUGAACAUGAAGGUGAUGGUAAUGAUAAUGUUAGAUGAUGAUAAUAAUGAUAAUGUUAAUGAUAAUGAUAAUGUUGAUGAUCAUCAGACCAUCACGAUGAUGAUGAUCAUGAUGAUAUUGAUGAUGAUGAUCAUGAGCGUGAUCCUGACAUCUUAAAGGAGAAUGAAACCCUUGAAACCAGCUGAAUCCAUAUCAAAGAGAAAAAUCAAAGAAACAUAUUGUUGAAAGUUUGAGGAAGAUUGAAUGAAUAAUAAGAGAGUUAUGAGCAUUUGAAUAUUGAGAUCACUAAUGCCAUGUAGAUCCCCUCAUUGGCAAUGCGACCAAGAUCUGUGAUGUCACACACGUACAACUCCCUCAUUACUUUAGUACUUAUUUCACUUAUAUUCUCACUUUUACAGAGUCUAUCACAAGGUGAGGUGUUCUCUUUAUGAGAGGACAAGUACAGAGGUUUCACAACAUUAUAUCAUUGAUGAAUCGUUUGUCAUAUGAUUAGAAUGAGCAAAAAGAGAUGUUUUGAGGUAUAUUUUCAGUGUCCAAAAGGGGAGAGUUGUUCAUCUGUGACAUCAUAGAUCUUGGUCGCAUUGCCAAUGGGAGGAUCUCCAUAGCAUUUGUGAUCUCGACAUUCAAAUGCUCAUAACUCUUCUAUUGCUAGUCCUAUUUUACUCAAACUUUUGUUGAUCUUAUUCUUUGAUUUUUCUGCUUUCACAAAAGCUAACUUGCUCCAAGAGUUUCAUUCUCCUUUAAUGAAAAAAUGAGGGAUGGUUUAGAUAGCAUAUAGUCUCAGCUACAACAUACUCGAAAAUCAACAAAAUCCAAGCAUAAAUAACGGCGAAAUUGCUCGCAAAAGACAGCAAUGUAGAAUCCAGAUUUGAGAAAAAGUCAUCUCGCAUAGGGAUUACUAGUCCAGAAUCUGCACGGUCCUUAUUUUCCCUACACACUUGAUUCAAGCCGUCGAAGAUGGCGUUAUCAACAAACUCAUAAUAAUGCUACGCAGCCCACCCAGGUGUCACGCGCGUAAAACAUUCCCCAUAGACUUGUGUGUUAAAAUGGCACUUUUGAAAAAUUCAUAAAAAAUAAAUGUGAAAUUAGAGGGUGGAAUGUUUACUAUCAAUGGAUAGGAUAUAUAUCUGACAUUCCAAAUCUGACCAGGAAAGGGUACCGUAGCCAGCUCAUUUUAAAAAUAAAUCGCCAUUUAUGAAGAUAACUAUGAAUCGAUCGAAUUCAUCAACUGAAACAGUAAAAUAGCCCUAAUUAUUCCGCCAGUCAAAAAAUAGUUCCAAAUCACUUAUUUAUCUUCCCAAUUUGGGCGAAGUAAGUUCAGUAGUUACCAUUUCUAGAAUCAGUGUUAGAUUUUGAAUCACAUUCAUACAUUUUUGUCAAUCAGCAAUAUCAAAUUGACAAAAAUUCGAAUGGGUUGGGUCGAACGAAUAUCUUUAGCCCUCCUGAUGUAAUUAGGCUCGUGGAACCCCCAGCCUUUUUCGCCGGGCGUCCUAAUUUAAUGAUCACGCCAUCAUCGGCUGGUAGCAAGUAAGUAGGGAGAGGUAGCGUCAGUGUGGUGGAGAUCAAAAUUAAAUAGGCCAGAUUCUGGACUAAGGGAUUACACGCCAAAAGUAAUGGAUCAAGUGAUAAUAGGGUAAUAAUAAAGUAAAUAGGGUUGUUUAUUACAUUAUUUGCGAUUCUACGUGAUUCAAUAUUCAAAGGAGACGGUAUACUGUACAGUGAAAGGUCGAAUAGACAAAAAAAGUGAAGGAGAAAAUUGUUGGAGACGCCCGGACUCGAACCAGGGGUCUCGAGGUCCGAAGUCAAGUGCGUUACCGAUAUACCAAAACAUUUCCCAUAGCGAUUAAACGUAAACGAGAAAUGGAAUUCUCAAAUCCCACGUUGCAAGUGAAAUAUGAGCAUGAUCUCGGCAUCUGAUCGAAAAAUAAAGGGCACAUUUGUGAUAGCUUUUUGUCUCAGCUACAACAUACUCAAAGCUCAGCGUAAACAAAGAUAAAACGACGGAGAUAUUGCUCGCGAAAGACGAAAAUGUAGAAUCCAGUUUUGAGAAAAAGUCAUGUCCCAUAGAGAAUACACGCAAAAUGUGAAAAAUUGACAUGCCUCCUUUAAUCGCAAAAAUACGCCAUGAAGCCUUUGUCAAAAUGAAAUAUCGUGGCGACUACAUUUGUAGAGAAUAUUCUAAGGUAGAACAUAUCAAAAUUUGAAAGAUAAUUGAUCAACAUUUGCAUAGAUACAAUCAAUUUUCCAAAAAUCUGCUGACGUCAUAAUAUGAAAAUUUAAAUUUUGAGUUCGGAGGCCAUUAUGAUGACGUCAUGAGCUAAUUGAGGGUCAAAUGAAACAUGAAAUCAUAUCUCCGAUUCAUACUCUAUCAAAAUAUGAAAAAAAACUUGGGGUCACCUU